UUUUAACGGCUGCGGUAUUUUGACCGUGCUAAGGUAGCAUAAUCAAUUGUUUUUUAAUUGAAAACUAGUAUGAACGGUUUAAUUUACUUAAUUAGUUUGUAAUUUUUAAUAGUAAGUUAAAUAUAAAGUAAGAAUUCUUUAAUAAAUUAGGGGACGAUAAGACCCUAAAAGCUUUAUGAUUGGCAUUUAAUUGGUGAUAUCGGUGUUAUUAAUUCACUGGGGCAGUGAGUUUAGGUAUAUUUAAGUAUAAUUAAAAGCUCCUUUAAAUAAAGAUUUCAUGUAUAAGUUACUUUAGGGAUAACAGUGCAAUAUAUU
This 315-nucleotide ribosomal RNA is filed under the name Dikerogammarus haemobaphes. Its description in RNAcentral is "partial 16S ribosomal RNA". The record is from RNAcentral. Lineage: Eukaryota; Metazoa; Arthropoda; Malacostraca; Amphipoda; Gammaridae.